GCCUUUGUGAUGUAGUGGUCAGCACGCUUGACGUGUAUUCGAGAGGUUCAUGGUUCGAGUCCCAACAAAGGCG
Molecule: non-coding RNA, 73 nt
Organism: Stegodyphus mimosarum
Lineage: Eukaryota; Metazoa; Arthropoda; Arachnida; Araneae; Eresidae
Source: Rfam